Molecule: ribosomal RNA, 818 nt
Filed under: Fusobacterium sp. HGFU2
Lineage: Bacteria; Fusobacteriati; Fusobacteriota; Fusobacteriia; Fusobacteriales; Fusobacteriaceae
Description: bacterial SSU rRNA
Rfam family: Bacterial small subunit ribosomal RNA
Source: RNAcentral
AGUCACUUGAAUUUGGGUUUUUACUUAGAUUUGGGUGGCGGACGGGUGAGUAACGCGUAAAGAACUUGCCUCACAGCUAGGGACAACAUUUAGAAAUGAAUGCUAAUACCUGAUAUUAUGAUUUUAAGGCAUCUUAGAAUUAUGAAAGCUAUAUGCACUGUGAGAGAGCUUUGCGUCCCAUUAGCUAGUUGGAGAGGUAACAGCUCACCAAGGCGAUGAUGGGUAGCCGGCCUGAGAGGGUGAACGGCCACAAGGGGACUGAGACACGGCCCUUACUCCUACGGGAGGCAGCAGUGGGGAAUAUUGGACAAUGGACCGAGAGUCUGAUCCAGCAAUUCUGUGUGCACGAUGAAGUUUUUCGGAAUGUAAAGUGCUUUCAGUUGGGAAGAAAUAAAUGACGGUACCAACAGAAGAAGUGACGGCUAAAUACGUGCCAGCAGCCGCGGUAAUACGUAUGUCACGAGCGUUAUCCGGAUUUAUUGGGCGUAAAGCGCGUCUAGGUGGUUAUGUAAGUCUGAUGUGAAAAUGCAGGGCUCAACUCUGUAUUGCGUUGGAAACUGUAUAACUAGAGUACUGGAGAGGUAAGCGGAACUACAAGUGUAGAGGUGAAAUUCGUAGAUAUUUGUAGGAAUGCCGAUGGGGAAGCCAGCUUACUGGACAGAUACUGACGCUAAAGCGCGAAAGCGUGGGUAGCAAACAGGAUUAGAUACCCUGGUAGUCCACGCUGUAAACGAUGAUUACUAGGUGUUGGGGGUCGAACCUCAGCGCCCAAGCAAACGCGAUAAGUAAUCCGCCUGGGGAGUACGUACGCAAGUAUG